This is a non-coding RNA of Callithrix jacchus (white-tufted-ear marmoset), 148 nucleotides long. The record is from Rfam. NCBI's taxonomy places the organism in Eukaryota, Metazoa, Chordata, Mammalia, Primates, Cebidae.
GCCAGGCGUAGCAGUGUGCACCUGUAAUCCAAGCUACCCAGGAGGCUGAGGCAGGAGAAUCGCUUGAACCCGGGAGGCAUAGGUUGCAGUGAGCCAAGAUCGUGCCACUGCACUCCAGCCUGGGUGACAGAGUGAGUCUCUGUCUCAA